UGCAGCCAGUGUACUAUAGGUGUACCUGGACGUUUCUGAUGAUGCUUUAGCCAUGGAAGAAGUUUAUCACUUAUAUUCUGUCAUAUGAGAGUGCAGUUGUCAUGAAUUUGGAGAAACAGAGCUCAUCAUUAAUUUAAAGAUCUGGCACAGAGAUUCACUUUGUGCUCAGAAUCCUCUCUCAAACACUUUUUGAGCAACUGAGCUUAAGCUAAGGUUUGGCAUAAGCAGCUGGGGGAGGGAAGCUCAGCUGCUUUUCUGUGUAAAACAAAAGCAUGAAGGAAUGGUGGAACUGAAACUUACUUUAGAAUUUGAACAUGCAAUAGUGAGAAAUGUUUUGCUACCAUUUGCUUUGGUGUAGUCUGCUCCAUGCAGUGAGUAGAUUCAAUGGCUGUUUUGUAUAAAGCACUGUUCCUGUUCAGACAGGUGGUGCAACCAGGCCUUUUCCUUAACAGAUUGAAGUCUACUUAGGCAAGACAAAGGCUCCUUCCUCCCCACUACCCCUCCAAAGAAAAGAGAUUUGAGGUGCUUAGCUGUGUCACAAUAAGGUAAAUCAGAGCCAAAAGUACAGCUCAGAUCCUCUAACUCCUCACCUAGCCCCUGAGGUGCCCAGCCGAGUUACCUUCCCACAACUGCACCGCUGGCUUCUGCCAUCGCUGUGGCUUUAAGGAGUGGAGCACAGUAUGGCUGUAAUGCAGCACAGUGGUACAAAUGUUUUUCAGAUGAGGUUGGCUGCAGGUUGCUGUAGGCAUGCCAGGAAAGCUGUUCCACUCUCAUAUAAUUUUGUAAGAUCACAGGGGAAAGAAAGAUCCUCCAGGUGCAUGAGCAGUCUGUCUGCCAUGUACUGAGUAGUGCAGCUGACAAAGUGUCUGUCCAAAAAGUCUUCUUCAUUGAGCAGGUAAUAUUUAGUUGCAAAGCUUCAGAGCUUGGCAGGGCUCGAAUGGGUAGGUGAACUCCCAGUUGCUGAAGAAAGAAAUGGAGUGAGCCUGCCAGCUUGGACACCAAAAGCAGCAUCAGGCUGCUGCUCACGGAGUUUGGUAUCAUCUCCACAUGAAUCACAAUGAGAGUGGUCCAGGGUGCUCCGUAAACUGCCUUAAAAAGGCUUGCCCAGGAGAAGUGGGCAUCAGCCGUAAUAUGUGAAGGAGACUUGAACGUGCAAUAGUGAGAAAUGUUUUGCUGUUUGCUUUGGUGUAGUCUGCUCCAUGCAGUGAGUAGACUCAAUGGUAAUCACAGGAAAAUGUGAAGAUUGUGUGAUAGGAAGAGCUGGGGUUUUAGAUUUGAGGGUCCCACGAGUUGAGCUUUCUUGGGAUAUUUUCACUUUUACCCACUCAUGUUUCCUUUUGCAACUCUCCAUUCCCAUACUUCUGUUAACUUUCUUACCUCCUCUCCCUCUACUUAAAAUCCCCAUAAUCUGGGCCUUGGAAAAGAGCUCCAUGCUGGAAGGAUUGGAUAAAAUGAGGAUAUUCUACCCAGUAGAGGGCAGUGUGUAAAUUUGGAGCCGGUGCAGAGCAAUUGGGCAGAGGACACAUACAAAGAAGGUUUCUAGAAACGAUUGAAGCUGAAAGACCUGCUGCUAGUUCAGAUGAUUCGGAUCUGCGCUCUGUCACUCGAUUUUGUUAAAAGUCCUUACCCCUAUUUUGUAAACAUAGGUUUGGAAAAUGACAGAAAAUUCAGAAGAAUCGCUAGGCAUUUGUGUAGCAGGAGCCUGGCUUACUGGUGAGAAAUGGGGCAAAGGUUAGAGGGAAUCUGUUUAGAGAGCACUGGGAAUAUGGAUGCCAGGAAAGGUCUGCCAGUAGGCAGCAGGGGAAAAAAUGGGUUUGAAGGUAGGGGAGUACUGUAUCUGUUGGGGAUACAUGGGACAUUUGCCUGUGUGUUAGUUUGUUUUUCAAAAACUACUCUUAGUCCUACUAGCAGCAGCGGCAUGCAGGCAGAGCUUCCUUUAUGCUCCAAGCCUUUCCUUGCCCUGUGAAACCACCAAGACAGGGGAGGUUGUGAUACCAUGUAUGGUAUUCCCCAGUAUAAAUUCCCUUUAUGGGGCACUCCACACCCCACUGAAUUCAUCCCCCCUGUAGGGACAGUCCUCUGGAAAAGAAAAAAAAUCAAAAAAGUCGAAAGGCUUAGAAAAUCAGCAGGCACUCCCCAUUUCAGCUUUGUUCCUAAUUUUUGAGAAUAGAAGCAGACUGAUUCUGUUAUGAAGCUGGAUUAAUUGGCAGGUCAAUGUGUCUGUGGAAUAGCAUGUUGGUUAGAAUUUGGUAUAGUAAGUGGCUAAUCAGUGUGGGAAUUGAUAUGGGAAUGCUAAAUCAGCUCAGUUGUGUUACUGUUAUGAAGACAGUUGUCAAUGAGUAACAAAAAUACUUUUCCGAGUCUAAUAAAUUGCUGUUGUCUGGGAAGAACAGUUCAAGUAAAUAGGGUCACAUAUUUUACUAUUAGUAUUUUGAGGUUAGAGCCUCUCUUGUGCUGAUACUGUAAAUGGUAGCUCUUACAUGAAAGCGCUCAUCUAAACUGACCAAAUCAGCAACAUCAUCUUUAGAAAAGGGGAACUGAAGCACCAAGAGAUUCAGUGAUUUGCUUAAAGUCACAGAGUGAGGUAGUCUGCAGAAGGGCUAGGAAUGGAACAUAAUUCAGGUCUUCAGAGCCCCAUACUAGAAACUUAACCACAAUACCAUCCUUCCUGUUUUAGUGGGUUUUGUUUUCUUCUCCAGAAUCUGAAUUUUCAUUUAAAUGAAACCCCUGAAAUCGGAAUUCUUUGAUUUUGCAAGUAAAUUAGACACCACACUGUUUCUGAGUCUCCUUUCAGAUACACUGAAACCAGCAGCACUGAGAGAAGUGUGAACCUCCGUCACCCACUUUAACUAGGUAUUAAGGUCAGAGUCUGACGUAUUUAAACGGGACAGGCCCAAAAGAUGCAACUAUUGUGACUAGACAUUUCCUUACACAUCUACAUUUUCAUGCUAUCCAUACUAUCAUUUUCUAAGUUAAGAGAUCAUAAAGUGGGCUUGACGAAUACAGCUCAUCCUCUUAUCCUUUUAGUCAUUUACUUCCAGGUAAAAUGGCUAUAAAAAUGACUCACUUUACACUGAUAUUAAUUAUCGUGCUAGAUAUCACUGAAGAACGAUGUGUGUACGACAUGUUGGCAUAGCAUACACAAGUCAUUAUGCCAGGAAUUUGAGAUGUCACCAAUUUGUUAUCAAGCCUCAAUAAGCAUCAUGUCUAUGCUUAGACAAGGGCUAGCCAGUCGGUACAGAAUUAAUAAUUUAUGUCUGAACUGGAAUUUGUGCUGUUCUGCCAAUAAUGGACAAGUCAGAUCCGAUCCAGCUAUGAUGGGUGAUAGAAAUUAGGUUUUGUCCUCUAAAAAGGAUCUCCGUGAGUAUUAUUUGUGAGAAAGUGCACAUCUACUGGUUCAGAUGAAAAGCUGUGGGUUUUGGAAGGUAAGUGAAGUAAGCUUAAUGGUGUACUAAAACUGAGUAAGAAUUGAGCCUCUCCCUCUUGUAGGUUCCUUUGAAUAGUCCAAAUUGUCUGAAAUAUAUUUCUGUAAGAGAUAUAAAAUGUUAUAUUUCAAAUAAGUAAUAAAAUAACUGUCUGAGGCUAUGAGGAAAGUUUCUUUCUAAGCUGGCUAUUCUGGAACUGUUUAUUUUAAAUUAUGUUAGUUCCUUCUUCUGGAGCAGUUAACACUGGUUUCCUUGAGCCCAGACUAAAUGGACCCUAUCCGAUGUUCGGUGGAAUUUCUUUGGUUGAUAUGAAGGCAAAUCAAGAUUCACAUUAGUCUGUUGAAUUCAAAUGCUGAACAGUUAACCAUACAAAAAUGUGGUUUGAGUUUUCUACAUUUCAGUAGUUCAGACAUCCUUCUUGGUAAUCAGUUGAUUGAAAAAAAAAAAAAAGGAAAGCCUCAAGUUGUUGGUAAAAGCAUUGUGAAAGGGCAGCCUGCAUUCUGGUGUUUUUUUCAUUUUUCAUCUCAAAUUAGAGAUUUGUGUUGCUUGGGGUGGGGGGUAAGGGGUGCACUCAUGCGCACGUACUCCAUAGUUGAUGGAGGAACUUUGGAUCCCUAAAAAUAAUGUUGGUGCUAAUUGCAGAGGUAGCAGACUGCUGUUCGUACAGGGGAACUGCUGCUAUAAAUACUGGACUGGAUAUUUUAAAGCAGAACCAUAUGAAGUUAGUUUGGCUUCCAGAUACACUUACUGGGCUACAGAGGUUUCAGUGCUGGCUGGAGGAACACGGACCUUGAAUUUCACAGCCAGUUGCUAAUUUUACUUCAUUCUAGCUACCACAAUACCUGAGUGAUGCUUUCCAAACUAAGCCAAUACAGACCUCUGCUCCCUUUCCAUUGCCUCCCUCGCUGCCCCAGCAGCUCUCUCUCUUGCUGUUAAAGCCAUGGCACUGACCUGUGCUGUGGGUUUUGGAGCUGAGGUUACUGUUUGUGCAUGCAGUUAAGAGUCCUCAGGCAGUUAUAUAUCCCAUGUAAUAUGAGAAGGGGAUGCUGACUAUAAAGAGGACACAGGAGAGGUCAUAAGCUUUGGGGAAAAUUUAUUUUUGAGUGGGAACCUUGGGGACACCAAGCAAAACAUAAUCCAAAAAGGCUUACAGUGUCUCUUCACUACUAUUUUAAUGGUAUCUUUACCCUCUGCUCUUAUAGCUUCCCAUUCUUACAGGCAUUUUCUACCAUUUCUCUUUGUUUUCAAUGCCUGUUUAGAUUAUGUCCUGCACGGUUUACGUGAUUAUGAAUUUGCAUUUGCUGCUGGUGGUGAACAGUGUUGAUACCCUUUCUGGUGCUCCCAUGAUUUGGUCUAUUCAAACCACAUGCAAAUACUGAGCUUCUGCUGAAGUAAUUCAAAGGUUGUGGAAUCAGUUUCUGAUGUAUUUCAUUCAUAAGCAUAAUCCACAUAUGAGGAGAUUUUUAUGGUUGGGGUGAGGUGGAGCAAAUGACUCAAAUGUUCCCUCACCUUUGGUUUUCAGUCCACAGAAACUAGUUAAAAUUCAUUCUUAGGAUGUUCAAACGGACCCAAAUCUGAGUUCUAUUUCCUUGAAUGUAGAGAGACUCAAUAAUCCAAACUAAAAGGAAAAAAGUGGUCUCGUUCUUAAAGUGAACAAAGACCAAUACCAUUCUGUUAUAGGAGACUGAAGUAGCGUGUAGCAAGCUGAGAAAUCAGAAGGUGGUGGCACCGCCGUAUCUUGCAGUUUCUCAUCCAGAUCCAGGUGGACCAUCAUAUUUCUUUCACAAUGCACUGAGACACUUUCAGAUGACUUGGUUGGAUUUUUAAUACUUGCAGUCAUCAAGCCCAGAUCUGAAUAAAUGACUAUUAAUGCUCAGCCUUGAGAAAACAUCUUUUGUGGGCUUUCUUACUGCAUGAUAUGCUGACCUCCAUAUUUCUACUGUGAUUACAGCAAUCUAUCUUAAUUGACAGAUGUUUUUAAAGUUGCAGUCUAAUCUCAAAAUCAUAAACCACCCAAACUCCUAUAUUGAUGGAAUGUAUUAAGUUCCUGCAGUAUCUAAUAACUCUUAUACCUAACAAACAGAAACUAGUGAAUGUGCAUCUUUUAUUCUACUCUAUCUAUAGGAUAGAUCCUAUAUAGAUUUUAUUAUUGUCUUACGGCUUUGGCUAGUUAUUGUGACAUACAUCUGCAAAGAUCUAGGCAAGAAAUAGCUCAUUUGAAUUUUAAGUUCUCGGUUUUCAAAGUAUUGAGAAAUUAGCCAGCUUUCUGUUCCUCCCCUGUCCCUGGAGAAAGGAUAGGUCCUGAUAGGUGGCUCAGCAGUCUACUUCAGAAUACAAACAUUAAUUCCUCAUUUGCCAAGAAAAUUAAAGUUAAAAAAAAGCCCACUGUAAUUGCUCUCGUGGAAAAAGAAUUGGAUUUUUUUUUCUUCAGACAUUCUCCCUCUCCAGAUUUAUUGCAAACCUUGGCCUAUUUUACAUGUGAACUCAACAAGCUGUGUUCAGAAUAGAUUAGCUUCACCAUAUUCCAACUCCAGCUGAAUUUCUAGGAAUCAGGAGAAUAAUCUAGCUAUUUCUGACACAAGACCUUUACAUGUAGAAUUUUUGGCAUUUGUUGUUAAAGUGGAAAAUUAGAAUCAUUAUGCAAAGAUAUUAAUGAAGCAUUCUCUAAUUUUAGAAAGAUCAAUAUUAGUUAGAUACAGACCUCAUCACACAUGCUUUUGGAUUAAUUAAGAAGAAAUAUUACAUUAUGUAAAAUUAGUGUAUCUUACCAUGCAGGCCUUGAUGUCCCCUAUCAGUAAAUUAGGUAACUGAGAAUAUGAAAGUGGGAGGAGUGCCCAGCCUGGAGGAUUUCCUCCUGGAUUUCUGGAGACAUCUCACUGAACUGCUCUUGUCGGGAGGUUUGAAGUCUGUGGUGGCUCACUUUUUAAGGGCAGCUUUGUCCUCUGACACCGUGAGAAGUCCUAUUAUCAGUUAUCUUAAACUGGAAAGAAAUGCUAUGCUAUAUUUCAAUUACAGAUCUAUUUCAGUUCAUUAUAAUGUCAAAAUACUGACAAAAUGUCUGGUAAUGAGUCGAGGAAGCAUUAGAUUUAGUCAUAUACAUGACUUGAAUCGAGCUUGCCAAGGUAACCUUCAAAAACUUACUGAACAUAUGAGUAGUGACAUGUGAUGACCUCAAACCACAAGUCAUUCUAAUACAACUUUAUUCACAGUAAAAACUUUUGGUAAGGUGGCUGGAGCUAUUCUUAGGUGCAAACAGUUUAAUUUUUUUACUUAGUAGUUCUUUGCUCUAGCUGUCCUGUUCUGGCUCUGUCUCAUACCAUGACUUGGAGUAUGGCCUGAGUAACCUCUCAGUUUCUGCAGCAAUACCAAAACUAUGUCCAUGACUUUCUGGGUUUACUUCUAAACAGAAUGAUGUCUAUAUUCCUGAUAUUACAGCCCCAUUCAACAUAAAUUAAUGCAGCCUUCAGGUGAUUGCUGGUUUAGUAUACAUCUAAGCUGAAGUUCCAUAAUUAGAUUUCUCUAAUCACCAGUUUAAAAAUUCAGAUUAGCUGGGUGAUAACGUGUCAAGAAAAAGCAGAUAUAAUUCUUCAAAUGGUAAGUGUUAGGACUUUUCCUCUCAAGAACUUUUAUAGGCAAACAGAUGCAAUUAAGCACCUACUACAAUAAUACCAAGAAAUACCAAUAAACUGAUGAAUGUAUAUUUAAAUCCUAUGCUCUCUCUAAUGAUUUCCCAUAUAAAUAGUUUACAUCCUCUCUCUCUGAGUCUAUAAGGAAAGGUUAACAUACUAACAGGGAAUAUGGAUUUUCCAGUUAGUCAGUGAGAGCUCUGUCCCUUUCUAAUGCUCAUGAGUGCUGUGACUUACACAUGGCAAAGGUGGAGCAUGCACUUACAGACAAGGUCCUGCACAUCCUGAGAGGUUUGCCUAGCUUCAGAGGCCUUCAGAGGACAUCUUUUGUGAGUUUAGAUUUCUUUGCUAAAGGCUUGGCAGGAGGUUCAUCAGAGCCCUUCAGACGAUUUCCAGUUACAGUAGUACAAACACAGUAACAGUAGUACAAUGUCUGUGAUCUUAGGAUGUUUCUCAGGAAUUUUUUUCUUUGUUGAGCAAGGUUAACAUUUUGUUCUGUAGUAUGUACUGGUUCUUUAAUAGGAAUGUGAUGGAUAUGCCAUGGCUAUGGAAGGAUACAAACGUGACUUCACAUUAGAUUUGACUUCCAUAUCCAAAAUGCUGCUAGUAGUGGUUGAGCAAAGAUCUCCAAAUAGAUGUUUUUAGCAAAAUGGAAAUGCAGGCUUGCACCCAGAAUAGAGCAGUGGAGCCCAGACCUUAGCUUUACUGCUAAAAUUAGCUUAUUUUUGAAGAGAAGAAAAACAAAGACGUUUGACGCUCACUUCUAGAUACAUUUGUGUUACAAAUUUUGAAUUAGCUGAAUGGCUGCCACCUAACUCCCUCUGUUUUCCUCCCUUCUUUUUGGCUUUUUAUUCCUCUCAUAUUUUACCCUUACUUUCUUAGUGUCCUGUUUUCCCCCGCACAGUUGUUGACCAUCGGGCCACAGACCGGGGAAGCCCAGAGUGAGGCUGUGCACUGUGCUGGUGGGGCAAUGCUGAGGGAUCCCUGCACUGGAGGAUUCCAGGUGUCAGGACUGGAAAAAGCAGCUAGCCUGGUUCAAGCACUGGAAAAAACAUGUCCUCACUUUUUGCUUGCUCAUGGACCAUACUAAAAACAUGCCACUGAAAGAUAAUGUGCUGUAGAUGGGAGAGCCAGGACUCUGUCUCCAGGUGCUAAAUGAGGAGAUCAGUGAGUUGAGGCAGGAGAGGCUGGCAGAACUGUGGUUCCCCCCCAUCUUUUCUGGAUCUUUGAGCUCCUGCCUUACUUAAGAAUAAUGGCGAGACACCAGAAUUGUCCAAAUUUUGAGGUAAGUGCUUUUGUGCUACUGUAGCUGCCUGUGCUCAUGAGGUAUACAAUGACAGCAUGCUAGUUUCUAAUCAGAUAGAGUUCAGCAGUGCAAAGCAUGCAUGCAGGUCAGGUAUGACUCAAACAAAUCAGAGUGGAUGGAGAGAAGGUACUUUUGUACUGGAGGUAGAAAGGUAGAAGGGCAGUAUUUCUUCCAUCCAAAGUGAAUAUAUAGAAACCUCAUGAAAAACUGACAUUAAACAUAUGUGGCCUUUUGGAAAGUGUCUGUGUGCAAAUGCAUCCACAACAUCUAGAGUGAUAAAAAUCAUCUACUGAGCUGAGUCGAAUGGCAUAGUUGAAGUGGAGCUGUAAAUAAAGUGGUAGGCGGUUUCCUGCUAAAACUCCCCUGCAUGUCCAAGAACCCACUGUGACUCAGCCGUUGCAGUCACUGGGAACUCAGCGCAGACACCCUUUUCUAGUUGGGCCUUUUUACUUCUCUUUUUGCACCAUAUCAAGAGGGACUCCAUUCAUCCCUGGAGGAACUGAAUUGACAAUACGACCCAUUAUUUUUUGUUGUCUUAAAGUAAUGAUCUAACGGUAGACCAGCAAGACUGUUGGGACUUCUUGUUAAACUGUCUGAUUAUCAAGGACUCAUGCCUGCAAAACUGUCUGCUUGGAUCUUUGUUAGAUCUUCGCGUGAAAGUUCUUGGAACAUACAUUAACAUACUUUAACUGGGCUUGCUCUUACCGUCUCUUGAUGGCCUAAAAAUGGAAUUUUCGUUGCUUUCAUUUCAUGUGCAAUAAGACUCAAGAAUGACUGUGGGGUUUUUUAUUUUAAAGAUUCUGUGUGUAAAUAUGCUGAAUGGAAGUGAGACAAUUACAUUUUUGCUUACAAUACAUUUUCUAAUGUACCUACUGUUCCUUCAAAAAAUUAGCAUCUUUGGAAAGAUGAACUGAGCUGAAAGAAGCUAUGCCCUUGUUAAAACAACAGCAGUAGCAAUGUCUAGUAGUUUUUAGGUCAGCAACAUCUAGAGUCUCACUUGCCCUAGAAUAUUUUAUGUUUGAAGCUGUCAGAUGUCAUCUUACUCCUCUGGGCUCUUAGGUACAUCCUUUGUCAUUGAGAUAAUGCUUUCCCUGGUCCAUUUUGAACCUGCACAAAUAGUUGCCUCUCUGUGUGAAAAGUUCUGUACCCACAAGGCUUUAGAUUUGGCAUUGGCAAUUAAUAAAGCAGGUUUGGGAGAUUUGUAGGUUCCCAUGAGUAUGAGCUCCCUUGGUUCUAGUCCCAGCUAAUUCCUUAUUGGCUUCUUCCAUAAUACUGAUGGAAGUUUCUCCCCAUCUGACCUUUCUCUGUGUGGACAAAUCCCAAUGUCCCAGGUUUAAAAUUUACUCCACUCUCCUUUUUACUUUCCAGCCUGAUGUUUUCUAAUUGCUUCCUGUAAUUUUUGUUGAAUAGCUCUUUUAGUUUCAAGAUGCUGUCUUUUGCUUUCUUUCUCUCUCUGAUAUUAAGUAUACUUUGUACAGUUUUUUUUCUGAGAAUUAAGUCUACCUUCUCCUCCAGAGUUUUCAGUUUAGCAUCUGAAGGUUAUCUGUGGUUCCUUGUUAGUGAACUUCCUUUCUGGGAAGUUCAGCCUCCUUGUAUUUUGACUCAGGUCAUUAACAUCAAAAUAGAUUCUUUUUUUCUUGCAAAUUCCCAUAACUGCCCACCUUUCUUCUCUUUUCCUUGGUCCUCUCCAUUACCACACACAGAAGUGCUAUGCGGUGCAUUGUUUUAUGAAAGCUGACACCUAGUUGCUUUCCCUCAGACAAGUCCUCUUUUGCUGCUCCUACAGCUGUGAAGGGUUUAGUACAUUUUGAAAUCCUCCCAUCUGAAAAGCAGGAGUCAGGGUUUUCACAAAGUGCACCAGAGGAGGGGAUACUCAAGGAGCUGGUGCCAGGAAGUUGCUCAGAUUGUUGCAGAGGCUGAGGGGUGGCUGGCACUGGGGGACCUGAUACUAGAGAGCAGGCCAAAAGGCAGGGGCAGUGCUGGAAGUGCCCAAGGGUUAUGAGAAAGCAGCUCUGGGGUGAUUCCAGGCAGGCAAAAAAGGAAGGUCCAGGAAGGAUGUGUAGCGCAGGGUUGUUGGGUCAGGGCGGGGAUGCUCUGGUGUGGAAGGCUGGAUGUCUUUAUUUUGUGAGAAGAAAGGCAGCUCUAUAGAGAAGGGAGAGGUUUUGAAAUGGGUUUGGAGAAGUGGGGUAAAGGCUGUGGCAGACACUGGGUCCAAAGGCUGGGGGAACUGAGCGCAAUGGGUGAAAAUGUUGCAGAUGUGGUAUGGAUGAGGGGACUCAAAGGCAGGAGGGGCCAGGGAUCACCAUCUAGCAGAACUGGUGCCAUUAACUGGGAUCCCCCUAGUUUGGGGACUGAGGACACACAAUGACCUGCCGCAUCCCCCUCCCUCCUGAUGGACUGCUUGUAACCCUCACAGCCCAUCUUUUUCUUCUAUCAGAAAUAUGGUGGUAUAUAGUAUGUCAGUACAUAGUACGUCCACUUCCAAAUAGAAGGUUUAACAGACAAUCUGAUAUCCACACCAAAUGAUAAUUUUAUUUCACCAGACAACCAGAAUUCUCCUCCUCCUCCUCCCCCACCAGACAACCAGAAUUCUCCUCCUCCUCCUCCCCCACGUACUCUUUUUUGAAGUGUAUUGGUCUUAAGGAAAAUUGCUGGGCUAUGUGGAUGGUGACUCUUGUACCCCACAAACACAGAGUGGCUGCUGAGAUCCUGCCUUCUGAGAAGAGCUCACCAGAAUGACCAGUGAGGCCAGUGAGUAGGCAGAGCCCAGGCUGCUGCAGAGUGCUGCACCCAUCAGCAUGCCUGCAAGGUGGCUGCUGCUGCACAUAUGACAGGACAGCCCAUGCUCAUGUCGGUGAGGGAAAGUGUUGGGCCCUUAUUGGUCAUGGUGAGUCAUUUGCAACUUCUGCCACAUUUAGCAUGAAUUUCAUUUUAAGUUACUCUACUGCAUCCUUAUUUUCAAUAUUUCCUUCACAAGAAGCUGGAGCCACAGAGGUGAAAAUAAUUACAUCUACCAGAACCUGUCAUGAAAAUUGGCAGCUAGUUCUCACUAGAAAUAAAAGAAUCAGAUUUUGAACAGCACUGAACAGUGCCACUCAAGUAUUCACACGUGGAAUAAAACUCUAAUCAUCUGAAGUAAUAAAGUGAAUGUAGUUCACAGGUAUUCAAAUGCCUGCACUUUUUUCUGUAUGAGUGGAAAUUGAGCAAGGAAACAGUAUUUGGGGGACAAAUCCAAUUAGAUGUGAAAAAGAGGAAUUUACCAGAAGAGUAGCCAGCCUGGUUUAGUUUCAAGAGAAAUUUGUGUCAUCCUUUUGUCUUGACGUAACACUGUGUGCAACUUAAUGCUAAGCAUUAGCUUUAAACAUGCUUUUGUACACCACCACCUUGGAUUAUAUCCCCAUUUUGGUCUCUCCCGUAUUGUGAGGUUUCCAGUGGCUCUUGUGGCCAUCCAAAUUUAUGUCUACUGUUUGAAACUGCAGAGUGUCCUCAAAUAAUUAGAUAACCGUGCUGUAAACUCCUGGACCACUCAGAUGACAUGCCCUGCCUUCAAAUACACAGCUUUGUAGUGGCUUGGAAAACUUCCCACCAGGAGUUUACCUCAAUGUCUUCCCUGGUUUUUUCUUGUACAUGUAUUGAAGUAGUUUACAGGGACAGGUUUAAUAGGAACUCAACUUUUCAAAGGAAUUAGGAGCAAAAACUUCUUUACUUGCACACUGUGCCUGUCAGGUAUAACUGCAAGGGCUUUCUGCUAAAAUAAAAAAGCCAAACUGAGAAGUAAGGGAAACACAGAUAGGCAGAACAACACUCAAUUUGAAUUGUGUCUGUUUAUAUUUGAAUCUUUUGUUUGUAGGAAGUUCUGGUUUCGUCUAUAAUACUAUGCAAAUUCCUAUAAAAGUCAGUUUAAUUUUAGUAUUACUCAAUUUCCAAAGAAAUCAUUUGGGUUUGUGUUUAGAAAACUUACUGCCAAGCCCCCUCUGCUGGAUGGAAAAAUCAUGUUUUCAUCCCUGCAUGCUGAAGACAUCUAGUAAAAGCAUUCCAGCUUGUUACUCUUCAAGUAAUUAUAGGCUCAGAGUUCACAAGAUCAUUACUAUCUUUCUAUUGUUAUCUAUCAUCAUCAGUUACCAGUUGAGCUUUAGAGAAGAGUCAGGAUGAUUGUUGCAAGUGUGUUCAAAUCCCUCCAUUUGAUUUAGUAUUCAGUCUGUUGAAAAUUCAUUCUGUCAUGUGAUUAUUUUAUCAUCCAAGUUACUUUCAGUAAUGUCCACCUCUUCACCCCCCACUAUAUCCCAUAUGUAUUAUUUACAUCUUCUGUUAGUGAUUUCAUUGCACACAGUUAGAGUGUACUUGCAUAAUAUGUCUAUACAGGAAAUAAUAAAAAUCUGAAUCCAAGAAGCACACAUGCUUUUCCAGGGCAAUUCAAACUGCAAAGACCUGGUUUGCUUGUCUUUAAAGUGUGACAAGGGACAUUCGCUAGGCGGCAGGCAAUGCUAUGUGCUGUUUAAACCAUGCUUGUAAUUUGUGUAUGACAAAGCCUUUUGCAGGGACCACCUUUAUAUUUACAGAUUGGGAAACAGGCUUGGCAAGGAAAGACAAUCCAUUAGCUUGAGCACUAAAUUAGGACAUGGAUUUAAGUCCUGCUCUGAAACAGACUGCCUGGUGACCUUGCGCUAAUGAAUUAGGCUAAAAGCCAAAAAAGAAGUGUGCCACAACAUUGAGCAGUGCCCAACAAAAUUUUGAAGUUUCUGAUACACAAAGUGUUGGACUCUUUUAUGGUCCUCUGUGGUGCACAUUGAGAGCUGAGUUUCUUUGAAAGGAGAUCCAAAGCAGCCAGUAUGCCAUGCAAGCAGCCAGUAAGGAGCUAUUGCCUACAGAGGUGUGUCUGAAGCUUUUCCCCAUCUUGAGCUUCUUCAAAAAAUGGUCUUUGAAGAAUGGCAGUCUUUAAAAAUGGAGCAAGCCAAAAGAGCGUUACUGGGGCAGCUGAUUAGUGCUUAGAAGACCUUCAGUAUGCUUCAGUAUGUGGAAAAGUGAGAUUUGUGUCCCUACUCGGCAAGAGGGCAGUCAAACUUUGGUUCCUCCCUUUUCUGGAAGGUGUCCUAACUCCUAAGUUAGAGGUCUUUUCUUAUUGAAAGGGAAGGAGGAGUAUUUGUUAGCCAAGAGAGACUUGGAGCUUAACAGCUAGAACACGCACCUAUGAGUGCGAAUCACUGGAUUCUGGUGCCUCCUCUGAGUGCUGUGACAUAUUGUACAUUAAGUAGUUACUAGAUAAGCUACAUAAGUGAUAUUUGAAGCUGAGCCAGAAUUCAGUGGAUGCCUUUCUGUGAACUAAAGCAAGUUCAGGGAAGACCAGAGAAUGUUUCCUUCUGUAGGCUUGUGGUGAGGUCAUAAUUUCAAAAUGAGCUUGACAAAGCACAUGCUUGAGUCCCUCCUUGUCAGGAAGGUAUUUGAGCCCAAAUUUCCCACAUUUAACCCUGAAAUGGCCGCAUUCCCACAAAUGAUCUCACUGGCAAACUGUUGGAUAAAACUGAUGAGGUUGAAAAGAUGAUGAUCUCUAAUGAGGUCUCCGAAGGCAUGAGAACUAUUUCAAAGCUCUAUUAUUUUAUUCAGUUUGAAAAAAUAGUGACAAUUGUACCAUAAAAAUCAAACUGUAACAAAACUGAGGGAGGGAAAAACAUAUUGAAUUGGUGUUUCAUGUUAAAAAAAUACUUUUUUAUAUAACUGUAUUUCACAUGAAAAUGUGAACUAAUUAAAGUUUCCUAGAAUAUUCUGUAAAUACAGCAUGUAUCCUGGUGAGGUUAAAUGAGUAUUCAGUCUUAGCGGUAUUAGCCAAUACAUGUUAAAAUUAACAACAGGACCAGAAAGAAGUCUUAAAUACCCCUGAGUUCUAGGGAAGUUAGAAAACUGAGCCCAUGUUUGGAAUUUAUGCCCAACCUCUUCACUCACAAGGCAGAGGGUUAAAUACAAGUAGCCUAAGUUUUUGUGUAUGCAACAUUUUGUGACUAUGCAACAUUUCCUGUCUGCUGAAAUGCAGCUGCAUUGCCUCCGUAAGUCAGCUGUUGCUUUAUAGUUGCAGUGCAAUAAAGAGUUCCCUUUCCUUCUGAAUAACAAGGUUUUAUUGCAGGGUCUGUGCACAUUGCAGGAAGAAGAGAGAAAGAAGAAAAAAAAAGGAAGCAGGAAGUACUUCAGUCCCAAGCAGUGGGUAAUCAGAGACAGUUCUGCAACUGGGGGAGCAGUCCUUCCUCCUGAGGCAUUUGGCCAAGCGUAGAUAAACCUGAGUUUUCUAGGUCUGUAAUCUAGAUACCUCAUCCUACCUUCACAGGAAUCUUUGUGCUUCUAUGAUCAGAGCUAACCUGCUUCCACAGAGGCCAAACAGUGGCCAACCAAGCUGGGAACAGGAGGCAGAAGCUCCCUCCUACCUGAGUGGGAUGGAGGACCAGGGCUGACUCAAGAUACCACUAGCCACUUUCCAGAGGCCUUUUCAUGCAGAGCCAGUUAAUUUCUUACCUUCUGAAAUGCAUAGUCUGCCCAUUUAUACAGAGCUACAACACAAAGAUACAACUUUAGAGCUAUUAAGUUGAGGUGCUGUAUAUUCAGACAUUUACAGAUAAUAGAAAAGUGUGAGUGAAAAAUGGAGAAAUGAAAGCCGUGAUGGAAACUUGUUCUUCAGUAUGUGCCUGCACAAGAAAUGGCUACCAAGAAAGAUAAAGCAUUGCUCCUAAAGCAUCUCUCUAUAACUUUACUGAUGAAACAACAAAGGAACAGUAUGCCUUUCCUACUUAUGUACCAGGAAUUUAAUGGGGCUUAGAUUACAGACCAUAAACCAUAGUUGGAGAGCAUUGCAAAACAUGCAAAAACCGCUUUGAACUCAAGAACAGAAACUUAAACUUUCCCAAUAGUUUAGGAGUAAGAACUUCACGGCACUGUUUCUUUUAUUAUUUUACAAAGACUCUACAAAUGUUAUCAGUUUGCAACACUCCACAGUUGUGUGACGAAGAUUGUAGAAGUACUGGUGGAAGGAGCUCUAUUGUUUUACAGCUGGGAAAUGCAGCCUUUAGUAGGAAAUGCAUCUAUCUAUUUUACAGACCAGAGGGUGAAUGAAAAAGAUUCUCUAAUUACUUUCAGUUCUGUUUCCUUUGGCUGGAAUGUCUGUUUUCCCCAGCCAGUCAUGUGUCCAGCCAGAAUCCAGGGUAGUACAAUGACAUUUAUAAGAAACAGAAGGGAAAGCAGCCACAAGAAAAAGGAGCAUUCACUGAAUACUGCCAGCUUUGAGUAAAAUGUGGCACUACUUAAAUGAACGCUCCUGUGACUGUGAACUUCAGAGAUUUUCUUAAUAAGGACUGUUCUUCCCAGCCUUGAUUUUGCAAGUCACUUACGACCAUUGCUCAGGCUGGUACCAAAGAAGGUUUAAAGUAUGUAGCAUGUUUCAGAAGGCACUGUGUACCUUUCAGAACAGGGCCCACAUCAGAAGAAUCAGCAGAUUGAUACUGAGCAGUGCUGGUUUUAUAUAUAGGUAGCAUAUGCUGUAAUUUAACUGGGCCAGCCAAAGUAUUUUAUGAACUCUAUCCACAUUAUAUAUGCUGAAUCUAACCUAUAUACAUGAAUGCUUAAUUUUACUGGGCAGGGUGGAACAGUGGAACUGGGGAGCGAUUGGUGCCAGCCCAGUUGCAUUUGAAAAAUGUCUGCCCUAAGCUAUUAAUUCCUUUAUCAAUAUGGUUAACCAUUGUUAACCAGCCUGGAUGGAGGAAAAAAAAGGGGCCUGGAGAAUAUUUUUGCCAUCACACAUGUGUUCGCCCAAGUUUUUGAUUUGGCAGAAAUUAGUGUAAAAGGGGUUGCAUCAAAUGACAGUGUGAACACCAUACUGACUCUGCUUCAGCCUCCUUAGCUCCACUGGUGAGCGCUGGUGGCUCUUGUGGUCUGGAGUGGACUGAAACACCACUGAGUUCCCAGCAAAGGAAGAGCCAUAGGUACCAGAAUGCAAAUAAAUCAGUGGUCUCUGUCAAAUAGUAGGUUCAACCAUUCAAUUCUCCCUCUGCCUUAAAAAUCUAUGAAAACAAUGAAAAUGAAAAUACCUAACCCACAUCUGUUAGGAUUGUUUGUUAGUAAUCAUACUGUUAUCUUUUAAAAGAAUCAGGAUAAUGUAUAGUCAGACUAGAGAGAUCUGUAGAUAAAGAAAAAGAAACUACUUUGUGCCUUUCACUUUCACCCUGCACAGUUUCUCGUAAAUGAAGCUGUAACCGGCAACUGAGCCCAAGUCGUCUGACAAGCUUUGCCUUGCAAAUCCGAGCUUGUGUGCUGUCCUUUUCCUUUCUAAAGUGUCUAUUGCCUGGAAUUCAUCCUGUUCAAAUUGUAGCAGAGCUACAGAUCUUCAAAUGCUCCUGGAUGCUCAGAACGUCAGAACCCCAAAGGUGCAAGCAAAAAACAUGCACACAUUGUUAUGCUUGCUCUGCACAGCCACUUCAUCUAUGUGACAUUUGCAUGAAUCUUAGACACCAUCUACACUGAACUGAUGUCUCCUAGUUGGCUCUUAAAGUAUUGAUAGUUUCUAUUUUGAAUAAACAAGCACUGUUGGCUUUUGCAAUAGAGUCAGAGCAAGGUUUUGUGGGCUCGUCAGGUUUUGAAAAUAAGGCGUACUGGAUUUCCAUUUAUCAUUUAUUGCUGCUUUUCAUGACAAGCUGAAAGAUUGCUAAGUUUUUGGCUUCAAUAUUUUUGAAUCUCUGAAGAGUUGCUUUUUGGUUGUAUUUGAAUUUUAAGUCCAAGUUUUGUUGUUUAGUUUGGAGGGCUGCCCUAUAUAGAGCUACAUUUAGAAACAGCCAUUGUGUUGCCCUACUAUGUAUAUUUUAGCCAUCUGCAAAAAGUCAUAUAUAUAUUUUUAAUAUCAAUCGUUAAUAAUUAUUUAAAUUUAUUCAGAUAAAUGUUUGUAUAGUUGCCUCACCGCAGUCUUCAUCACAGCCAUUAGUUCAGUAGAAAGGUCAGGUUACCCGUACGUAAAUAGUGAUUUUAGUAUUUGCCCUUGAAGUGGGUCCUUUUCUCAAUUUCUUUGUAUUUUCCUCUGGUUCAUUUUGUUUUCUUGUUUAGUUCAUAAUAUGAAGUCUAUAGUCUCACUGGAAUGAGCUGAUGAAAAUCUUUUAGCACCAGUAGAUAUAUUUACCUUAAUAGAAACUGAGUACUGUGAGGUACCUAUGGGUCAGUUGUCAGCAAUGGUUGUUCAGGACUUCAAAUGCUGGCAAUAAAAGUCUGACCUUCAUUCCAUCAAAUUCAUAUUUGACCCUGCCUACUCUGGGCUUAGUGGAAAGAGAUGGGUCUUAAUUAGAGAGUUUCGAUAGUGUUUAAUAUAAGGUGCUGUACAGCCUACAAACUAGAACCUGUGAUUAAAAUCACUUAAAUCAAGAGGUGGAGACAGUUUGUGACUUUUUAAUGUCAAAUUAUAUUUUAAAAUAUGACAUUUCCAUAUGAGUCGUAGAGGUCUUUCUAAGCUGAGCUGAUGAGAUGUCUCACAGUUGGCUCAUGCAAUCUUGUGUCUCUUGAUUUUUUAAUAAAGAAGCCUAAGAAUGUGAAAACACAUUUCAGCAAUUGAAUGUCCCAAUUUAGGAAGAAUUCUGUGACUUUACUUAACAUUUUAUAUCUUCUCUUAGACCUACUAAGUGACUUUAAUCCAAAAUUAACCCUAUUGUACAUGCCGACAUUCAUUCACUCAUGCAGAUAGUUGGGGUAGCAAGCUGCUAUUUGUAAAUGGUGUGGCAAUAAAUGCAUUCUAACUCUGGGCUUGUAACUAUUUCCAUUUUUGAACCUUGCUUUAUAAAAUGCACGCUAUAAUGUAAGAAAUUGAGAAAUCAAGCUUAUUUAGGCCCCAGUCCAUCUAAGUACAUAAAAACACAUAAGCACUAUUAUUGAGCAGCUUUAAAUGAAAGUUUCACUGCUGUCGAUUUCCUCUGUAUGUUAUUUUUGCUUUUUCAGUCACUCAGCUGUUUGUUCUGAAUUCAUGCUCUGCUUUCCCCCUGCAGAGAAGCACAAGGCCAGCUGUUCCUUCAGCUAUGAUUUUAGCUUUUGCUUUCUGAAGUACCAAUACCAGUCAGUGCCUUCCCACUCAGCACUUGGCAUCAUUCUUCCCAUUCAAGGCCAUUUCUGCUCUUCAUCCCCCUGCCAGCACCCGGUGAGUCAGGAGACCAGUUGCUCACAAGCAGUUUCCAAAGAGGAUGCCAGUGCUGCUAGAGCUCUGCGUCCAGUGCAGGAUCCUUUUUGUCUAGCAUCCCUGGGCAAUCACAUGGGCAAAGCUGUAGUCACAGCUUCAUAGAAAAUAAAUGCGGCCACUUUACAUGGAGAUUCUUUGAUCUCAGAGCAAAAUUUGGUUAGUUAAGGACAGUCACCACAUCUGUGUUUUAGGUGAUACUCUGUGGGAAUGCAAGUAAAAAACAUUGGCUAAAGCAUAGGGAAUAGUGAGUAAUACUCACUUUCCACACAAAUUUUAAGUGACUAGAAAACAGCUGACUGGUCUGCUUGGCUGUGUGACCUGCAGCUGCCACCAAACCUGAAGACCUGUCUCCUGAAGACCCUGCAAAGUACUCCCUCACACAGCAAGAGAGAGGUGGGCUUUCUCCUCUCUGGCUGCCUGUGAACUCUUGGAGGCUCAUCUCAAACUUUCCUCUUCAAGUAGCUUGAUGUUAAUCUUAAACUUCCAAAAGUUUUUUCCUGAAUGAAUGCAGGUGUGUGCUGUGUGAGAUUGGUAUAAAAUUCCUGAGUUGUUACAUUAAAAUUCUGAACUCCUUUUAAUCCUGUUCUAACAUUUUAUUAAUUUCAAAUUACCUUGAUUGGUGGUGGUGUAGCAGUGAUGUUUUCAGUUUAAACAAGAUAAGGCUCGUAGGAAGAGAUGGUUUCUUUGAUUGGACCUGAGAAAGCUCUUGCCUGCUUGAAGAUUUGACUAUUAGUAAAAGCCUCUCCCUACUAAGCACCAGAAAUUUAUUUCAUGAAUCUUUGAACAGGCCUUGAAUAUUGUAGAACCCUGACAAUGUAUGCUCUGGAACAGCUGUAACUUCUUAGCCUCUAUGGAUAUUUCUAAUAUUUGAUAUCUCAGUUUUUAAGUUUUUGAAAAUAAAAUGCCACUCUGGUUGCUUUUCUUUAGGAAAAUUAUUCUGCUCUCACUCCACUGGAUGAACGGGAUGCUGACAAUGCCAAUCAGUAUACUUAUGCAAAACCAGCAGCUGUCAAGGGAGGACACCAGGGUCUGCACUCCCCUACACUGGUUAUAGGGGCUCUCCAGUCCCGUUAAGCUUCUCCUAAACAUCCAAUUCUUUUAUGAAGUGAAAUGAAGUCAGAAAGGCUGCACGACUGAAGUCUCCUGGCUCUUGGCUUCACUUCAGUCAGGAUGAAGAUCUAACACUUUGGAUGCCAUUCAUAUUUCCUGUUUAAAGAGUUCCUUUUUUCUUGGUGCAGGAGUUUGAAUAAGCUCAUCUGGAAUCCAGCUUUGCAGACUAUUUCCAGAGCAGCAAGCCAUACUGGUAAAGACUAUGAUUAAUUCUUUUCUUUUUUUUUCUUUCACCAUGUCAUAGUCCUAUUCCAUAGAAUGCUGAUUUAUUUCAGUUGCAUACCAGCGUAUUUAUAGCAUGGAAAGGAAUAAACGGAUGACACCCACUUCUGCAGAAUGCUACUGGAGCUCUCUAAGCAUUUCCUCUAAUAUUCUUUGUAAAUGAAAUGAGUCAGCUGAGCUGGAGAGCAUUGCACUGUUUUCAUAGCCCGUAGGCUGCCAUCAAUAGAGAUGUGUGGUGAGUGGCAGGAACUUGUUAAGUUUGCGUGACGGUGAGAGCAAUGAAAUAAUUUCUCAUGUUAAGGCUGGCUGUACAAGCUAAGGUUUCCACCCUCUCUGAGGAGGUGCCGGAGCCAGAAGCUGGUUUUCCUCUGCCACACACUGGGUGCAGCUGUCAGCUCCUGGCAGACACAGGAGGACUCUUGCUGUAACCCUCUACUGAUUCUACUAAGCAUAUACUAACAUGCAAUGUACAGCAUCUGUACUGGGUUCUCAAGACAAAAAGAGCACAAGAGGGUGCCUUGCUAAUGCUUUACUUGAUAGUAUUUGCCACAAAAGUUAGUUCAUCUUAUCUUAGAGUGACGCCCAUGCAGUUUUGACAACACUAUGGGAGAGGCCAGACUCUCGUUAGUAUUCAUAUUAUGAUGUCUGUCACUCACAUUUACCUGCCAAGUCACUUCUAAAAUGUUACUUAUUCAGAGCUACCUGCUAACUAAAAUUUUGGCAAGUUGCACCUGGAGUUUUCCUGUUUCAGCAGAUGACUUGCCUGGUUCCAGGUCUUUUGAAAUUGCUGGUUGAACAUAACUUAGCAUCCAUAUGCCAGACUGAUCAGUCCCAAAGCAUAAACUACAAGCAGCAGAAGUUCAAGUUAGGGAUGCAAAUAUGACUGACUUUCAACCCAUUAAUUCCAACCCAUUGAGCCAUUAAUGUCAAAUAAUUAAUUACAUUAAGUGAUGACAAGGUAGCUUAAAAAAAAACCCUGAAGGAUGUGGAUGUUUCUCCAGACUUCAUCCUGCAUGUCAGCAUGUCCACACUGCAUCUUUUAUGCAGUACAGAACAAACAUCAGGAAAAAAUUGAAUUUUAUAUUCUUGUGAUUGUUUCAUAUAGUUCUGUGUGCAGUAUAAGUUAAUAAGCAUAAAUGGAAGGCAGUUUGUCUCAGAUCCCUCUUCUCACUUACGGAGUAACACAUUUUUUCAAAAUACUGUUUUCUUAUAUUGCUUCUGUUAUGCUUCAUUCCUGUAUGCUGCUUCCUUUCACUGAAGGAGGAUAUAAAAGACACAGUUGUAUCACCUUGCAGUUCACUCUCUGAUUGUGGGCAGCCAGUGUCUGCAAGAGAUGCUAACUCAGAGCAGCACCCGUCAGCAGGCUGCAGUACAGAGCAGAUGGGGAGCUGCCAUGGGCCUGUCCCCAUCACACUCAAAUCCUCUGAGAUUCUGGGCUGCCGCAGACAAGUUUUUCUACAGUGUCUGUUUUAUGGACAUUUGUGGGCCAUUCUGACGUUACCAUUAUGAUCCGUGUGUUUAUCAGCUCCAUGCUUCAUGACUUCUCUUCCAUUCACCUGUGGAGCUUCAAGGUAGCCCUAUUUUGAAAACAAAUAUUUUAAAAAAAUUAAAAUGUAUAUGCAAAAAAUAAUCUUGAUUACUUGAAUUCAAAAUUUAAAAACAAAAAAUUAAACCAGAACUUUUUUGAAGUCUAGUUAGUGAAUUCUCAGUACUAGGAAAGAGAAACUGACAAAUAAAACUGAAGAAACUUUUCUGUAUGCAUUAACUAAUGGACUGGGACAGAGAUCUUUUUUAAAACUCUUUUGGGUAGGAUGAAAGACUGUAAAAUACCAGAAUUUCUGGCCAAGCCAAAGAAGGAUUUUUCCAAUUGUGUAAUACCAUCCUUUUACCCAAGUUAGAGAGGGGAGCAGAGAAUUGCUUCCAUUUUAAGUAGUAAUGCCAGUGAGAGUGUGAAAACAUAUGAGCUGGACAGAAAAUUCUAAGUUGCUGCUUCUUUGGAAAUCUCUUUUUAUGGAGAUCUAGGGUUAAAUUCUUUUUUCAGUUCUCUUGACGCUAUACUAACAGAACAGUGCCAGAGUAAUUGAGGGAGACCUGGCUCCUGCUACGCUCUGGGCUCUUAUCUAUGUGUAGUCUGACCUUUUUUUACUCAUACUGUGACAGCAUCUCAUGUGCAUGCCAGCGUGAGGAAUAACGUCCUUGAAGACUGCUUUGAAGAAAGGCACAUACUGUAGUAGCAGGCAGAAGAAGAUUGAUUUCUUCUUUUUAAUCCAUGCAAACCAAAACUGUGUCAUCCAGCAUGCUCUCAGAAAAUUUAACCCAAUGUGAUUUACAGCCUGUCAGCCACCAACUCAUUGCCUUUUCCAACGGUGUGCUGAGCUUCCUCUGCUACCCUUAAAUCAGAGGAUGUGAGAUAAUCUGCAGAAAGCAGUCUGUGGAGGCAUCAGACGUUUUUCCUGCAUCUGCAGAAUGUGUCUCCUUGCUGGGCUGAGCCAGUUCUUUGAUAAGACCUUUGCAGAUAGUUUACUGAAAGAUAAGGGUUUUCUAGUUUAAGAAAACAAAUCCAUCUGUUGGUGCAGAUCACCAGUGCUGCGGCCCUUCUUCUCAUAAAACAGUCUCUUCAAGGAAAAUCUUUUAAAAGGGACCUUUUAGUCUUCUGCAGAUUACUCUUGUAGGGGUCUUGCCUUCAUCUGCGGAUUUAAUGGCUUAAUAAGCAUUAGACCCUCCUGUUACACAGUAACAAAUAGGAAUACAAUACUUUUAUCAAUAUUUGGCACAAUUACUUUUUUUAUGUGAAACUAAAUAUUGAUGCUGUCAAGUGACUGCAACUUAGGGGCAUAAUUUACAAAUAUUCUUCUCCUGUAAGCCUUGCUCAAAUUUUGCAUUCAUGUACAGUAACCAUCUAAUGUCUUUCUAUUCCUGUAAGCCAUCUGAUUUGAUUGCCAGAUUACACAGUUUUGCAUUGUGCUUAGAUGUGUUUUUAUUGUUAUUACCAAUAUUACCUUUUAUUCUUACUGUAAAUGCUAACAAAGUUAACUGCUUCCUUACACUCUAAAAGGAAUAAAGUCCCAUUUACAGAAUGUCUCUAAACAGAAAACAUAUCUGGAAAAAAA
Molecule: long non-coding RNA, 22982 nt
Organism: Egretta garzetta (little egret)
Lineage: Eukaryota; Metazoa; Chordata; Aves; Pelecaniformes; Ardeidae
Exons: 4
Source: RefSeq, a predicted model, not a curated record